GACGAACGCUGGCGGCGUGCUUAACACAUGCAAGUCGAACGGAAAGGCCCUGCUUUUGUGGGGUGCUCGAGUGGCGAACGGGUGAGUAACACGUGAGUAACCUGCCCUUGACUUUGGGAUAACUUCAGGAAACUGGGGCUAAUACCGGAUAGGAGCUCCUGCUGCAUGGUGGGGUUGGAAAGUUUCGGCGGUUGGGGCUGGACUCGCGGCUUAUCAGCUUGUUGGUGGGGUAGUGGCUUACCAAGGCUUUGACGGGUAGCCGGCCUGAGAGGGUGACCGGCCACAUUGGGAGUGAGAGACGGCCCAGACUCCUACGGGAGGCAGCAGUGGGGAAUAUUGCACAAUGGGCGGAAGCCUGAUGCAUCAACGCCGCGUGCGGGAUAACGGCCUUCGGGUUGUAAACCGCUUUCGCCUGUGACGAAGCGUGAGUGACGGUAAUGGGUAAAGAAGCACCGGCUAACUACGUGCCAGCAGCCGCCGCAG
RNAcentral lists this ribosomal RNA (483 nucleotides) under uncultured bacterium. RNAcentral describes it as "partial 16S ribosomal RNA". It matches the Rfam family "Bacterial small subunit ribosomal RNA", at positions 28 to 523 of the family's 1533-position model. The record is from RNAcentral.